Molecule: ribosomal RNA, 287 nt
Filed under: Melanoides tuberculata
Lineage: Eukaryota; Metazoa; Mollusca; Gastropoda; Thiaridae
Description: partial 16S ribosomal RNA
Source: RNAcentral
UAGCAUGAAUGGUCUGACGAAAGCAAUACUGUCUCCUCUUUAUUUUUUAGAAAUUAACUUAUAGGUGAAGAGGCCUAUAUUAUAUUGAAGGACAAGAAGACCCUGUCGAGCUUUUAAAUUAAAGUAGGUGUAAAUUAUUAACAAAAUCAAUGAACUGCAUUACAUUUUUAGUUGGGGCGACGAAGGAACAAACAAAGCUUCUUUUAUUUUUAUAAAUUUAUAGAUUUAGAUCCAGCAAAGCUGAUUAAAGAAAUUAGUUACCGCAGGGAUAACAGCAUAAUCUCCUU